UGUCAAGCACUCUCCGGCUUUGGCUUCGGCUUUGGCUUCGGCUUCCUCAAGCGAACGACGAAAAAGAAAAACCUCCGCGCUACUCCUCCGCCCCGCCCGCUUUUCCUCGUCACUCGUGUUCUACCCAUCGCUCUCUCUAUCGAUCACAGGAGCAUACAGCCCACACGCGUACCAUUCCCUCUCUCCCCUUCUGGCUGUUCUCUUUGUACUUACAGAAGAUACUUGCGUCGGGUGACGCUGUUGUUCUUUCCGGGUGUGCAUGUACGUAUCGAAUUGGGUUUAUCUUCCCUGCCAUUUUGCAUUGCUUACUGCCUUGGCCUUGGCUUUACUCGACCACCACCAACACGUCUUUCGCUCUGCGCCUGCUGCAGUAGCUCAACGGUGGCGCGUUUCCGGGAAAGCAAGGUAGCCGCGAAGCUAAAAAAGGGAGGGGGAGAGAGCAAGCAAGACGGAAGGCGGCAAAAAGUUUGGCACGGAAAAAAAAAUACACACAGGCGCAAGAAAAGGACGCAGGCCCUUCGUCCCGUUGAGCCCAAGGGCAACGGAAGAGAGCGUGUGCGUUUUUCCUCUUUGCUUUGUGCUUGUGUGAGAAAGAGUGCCGUUUCUGUGGCGGUCUUGCUUUUUUUUGUUUGUUUUCGCGUUUUCACGCUCCUCGGUGAUCCCGCGCUUGACCUUUGCGUGCGUGUGUGCGUGCGCGCGCGAACUUUGCCCGUCUGAGAGUAAAGUGUUGUACUUCUUCACGUUCCCCACGCGCGCAGGCCAACACGGCCUCGUGCGCUUCUCCUCUCUACAAAGAAAAAGCUCGGUUUGCGCGUUACGGCUACGCUUGCCUCCUUUCUUUUCGUUACUUGUUUUGAAUUGUACUUUUUUUUCAGUUUUUCUUCCCUCCCGGUAUCUUCGUGGUUUCGCGCUUUUUCCCCCUUUUUGCCUCCAUUUUUUUUUUCAUUUUCCUGUCGCGGUGGGCUUCCUUGUGCGUGUGGGGGCGCUACUGCUGCUUCUAUUGCUGACGCCUCUCCUGUCGCCGCUCGCUCUCGUGACCGUGCACUACGGUGUUGGUGUGAUAUCUCUGCUCCUUUAGGCAAGUAUAGCUUUUUUUGCUCUAGGGGAGGAGAGGAGGAAGGAAAGGGGGGGUAUUUUCUCUCGUUUUUGUUACCUUGUACUCCUCUCGCUUGUUUUUAGUCAUCAACGGGGCACACCUCUCUCCCUUUGCUUCGUUUUUAGAGGCGCUCUCUCUAUAUAUAUUGUGCUUGCGUGUGUGCGCGCUUGUGGGUUUGUGGGUUACGGUCCUCCUCGUUUGUCGCCUUUUUUCUCAGCUCACCUUUGUUUUAGCCUUACAAUAGCCAAGGUGCUGUGACAAAGAAGAAUCGAAAAACCGCAUCUACAGAAAAAAGGAAAGUCACCGAGUCUUUCUACCCUUCCCUCCUUCUGCUUGUCUUUCUGUCUUCGCGACAUAAACACGUACCCGCACAGUCCUCGAGCUCCCCACCCCCGCCUCAGCAUAGCGUUCUAGCCAGCCAGGCCUGCUUUUCAACUCUCCAUCAAACACUCAGCGAAGCACAACCGUCACCCCCUUUCCGCUUGCUGGCGUACGCAGCGUAUCUGUAUGUAUCUAUAAACAAUCACAACUGCAUAUUCGCGUCCCUGUAUAUCCGAAUAUAUGAUUGAGUCACUUCCGUUUUUCUUCGAGCCCUCCGUCCCUCCCUCUUUCCUCUUCCGUGCUCUUCUGCCCUUUCCCCAUUUUUUUCAGCAGCUGGCCACGAAAGUGUUUGCGUGUGCGUGCUUUUCUACUCUUUUUUUUUGUCCAUCUCUUUCCUCGUUUAGUGGUGUGAGCGUGUCUGCUUUGCGCAUCCGCUAAACCCCUUCCCCCUUCUAUUUCUAUUUUAUUCUUCAGCCCCCAUUCUCUUCGCCCCUUUCGCCUUCCACCUUCACCACUACUAUUCACCCCCUUCAUUCUUUCGUUUUUUAUUUUUUGUUUCUUUUCGAUCGUUUGGCGGUUUACCGAGGUUGUUCUCUUUUCUUCUAAACAGGUGAUCUUUCCGCACUCUUUAUAUCUCUUCCCAACGUGUCGUGGCUGCGCCGUUCUUCCGUUUUCUUUUUGUUACGUCUCUUUUUCUUCCUUCUCCCUUAUCACUGCUUCAGACACGCGUUUUAUCCCUCCUGCUCCUUUUCGUAUCAAGCUCCUGUGUACGCACGCGCGCCAUUUUUCACGUAGGCCGCACUGUUUGAACGCACCGUCCUUGUGUGUGCGUGUGUGCGUGCGUGUGUGCUCGUCUGUGCGUGUAUCGGUGACGAAAGCGGAGCAAAGGCGUGCGGGAGAACUGGUCGAUCUAGCCAGUCAGCUUUGAGUGCUUCCUUCUCUCUUUGUGUAGCUGUGCAUGUUCGUAUCUGCCAGUAGGCAGACGGUGCAAGUUCAAGUGACCAAGAGGGCGAGUUGUAGGCAAAACAAGGACGCCCUACCCUUUUGAGCAGGGCUGGUGCAGAAAAAAAAAACUACUUCCUCUUCCCUCCCUCCUCUCCGCUUCUCUCUUGGUUCGGAUUUUCUAAUUGUGCUCCACGCUGCGUAUGGUACUCUCCUUUUGAUUUUUUUCCUGUUGUUCGGCCUCCCCCACCCCCUUCAACGCCUUUCCUUUGUUUUUUUUUUUCUCACUACCCUCCCCCCUAUCCCCCUUUUUCUUGUUCCUCUUUCCGUCGAUUUUCAUCAUCUUCAGUUCUCACUCUCUUUUUUUUUCUGCUUCAAUUAUCUUGAAGAUCUGACAUCUGCCGUGAUUAUUCUCCUACUUUUUUCGUUUCGUUGUUACCUCUCUUUUUCUCGUUGUUUCGCUUGAUCCUCCAGUCGUGUGUGUGUGUGUGUGUGUGUGUGUGCUUUCUCGCAGUCGUGAUCCCUCUCUGCUAUCUCUUUUCCUCUUGAUAAUUUUCUGCUUUUUGUUCUAUCACCGAUCCCCCCCUCUUUGUUUCUUAAUCUCUGCCGUAUUUCUUGCACUGUUGUUUUCUGGUUGUGUUACUCCCUCCCUACCCCUCUCCUCUGUGUCCGCGUGCUUGCUCGCGAUUGUGUUCGUGUAGGCUGUCAUCGCGCUGGCGCAUACGACGGCGCAAGGGACAAAACACGCACACACAAACACAACGAUACGCUGACGAGGCCGUGAAGGCAGGAGGGGAGCUAAACAACGAAAGCUCUGUUAAAAAAAGAAAAGAUAUUAGCGUGCCUCCUUUUUUUUUUGCUCUGCACUUUUAUUCUUUCUGGUUCUCCGUAGACGCGUGCGUGUGUGUGUCGUAUUUUUUUUUGUUGUUUUCCACGCGCGCUUGUUUGCCUUUUGGGAGACUUUGCUUCUUUCGUGUUCUCUUUUCGGUGUAAUCCUUCGAGACCCGCGGCUCUCUAAGGCACUUGGCCCUGCUGCGCUGCACGUGUCGCACACGUUUGCAUCGAUUGCGCAGGCGCGUGCGUUAGUUGAACGACAGGUGAAAGGAUUGCGAAGCGAACGAGGACACGCACACCGUAAGGCCAGAAGGGCGAAAAAGGAGUACAAACACGCUGGCUGUCUUUUCGAGGGGCCGACAAGCCCUUCGCUUUUUUGCUGUUUCGUGUGGAAUUCCCCCCUCUUUUCGCCCCCGGUCCUAAACGCGUUUUUCGUGUUUGUUCCUUGCAGUUUUGCGUAGUGCGCCACCUCUCCAUCGAAAAGACGGAGAAAGCGACCAAAUCUCUUCCUCGCUUGCUAUAUUGUUGCUCUCAGGGACUUUUCUGCAUAUAUCUCGUCUUCCCCAUGCCUGUAUGCGCGACGAUCGCCGUCACCGGCCAGCGCCAGUCAUGCACAUCCGCUGCCGUCCACACGGUGCCACUGCGGCCACAGCUUUCAAGGUCUAAGAUGCUGGUAAUCACUGGGAACGCAUACACCUCGCCACAACUGCGUCCGCUGCGCGAGGCCUCCACGCCCCUGCUCGGUGACACGCAGCAGCGCGCGCGCCAUUGCCAUUGCCCAGCCCAUGAUGCCACCUUAUCUCAUCACCGCAAAGAGGCUCUCAGCAUCAAAGCCGUUGGCGACAUCAGUCACUCGUCGCUGAAUAACACUGCCUACGGGGCGCUCUCCGGAAAGCGCGGCUGCAGGCCGCGGUGCUCCUCCUUUGGGACCCGCCGCGGCUCUUCGCUGAUGCUGCUGGACACAGCUGAGGCGGCCUUGGCCAGACCUGACCGCUGCAGCAGCGCACCAGCGAAGGAGACUGUUGCUGCGACCGUGACGACGCUGCCGUCAUUGUCACCGAUGAAGGUCGAAGCCGUCGAAGACAGUGCAAGUGUCCCCCCAGGUGUGACGCCUACGACCGCCGUCGCUGAGGUAUUGCCGAUGUCGCUGUGCGCGUCGAACACCCCACGCCAUCUCUCCGAUGCGCUGCCGUGCGACCUCGGGCAGAGCAGCGACAGCGACUGCCCCAUCGUCUCACCGCCGAAGGCCCUCUCUCUCUAUGCGACGGAGGAAGAGCUUCCCGUCUGCAUCGACCCGGAAGGUGUGCAGUGCUGCCCGUUAAUCGUUUCUCAAUGCAAGGAAGGCGUCGUGACGGAUGCACAGAUCAACUUGUCACCGUUCCUCAACUGGAAUUUUGUGCCGUACCUCUCCCCGCAGUCGAAGGGCCAGGUCAGGCCGACAGUGGUGCUGGACAUGGAUGAGACACUACUGCACACGUCGGUGGUGCCGAUGCCAGACGCAGACGCUGAGAUUGACGCGCUGUGCCCGUCCGACGAAGCGCAAGACACAGGGACGUCAGUGACCUCGGCACACUAUAAGCUUUUCGUGAAAUACCGCCCGCACCUAGAACACUUUCUGCUGUUCUGUCUGGACCACUUUGAGGUUGUCAUCUUUACCGCCAGCAAGGCCCUCUACGCCCAGGCGGUGCUAAGGCAGUUGCAGAAAGACUUCCCCAGCAUCAACAUUCGCCUCGAUGGCAGCAGUUUCAGCGGCAACGCUCCAGCGUCGCAGCGUGUGGGCGACGAGGCGCGCGUCAUUGAACUGCUGCACCGCGACCACUGCACACCGACAAACGUCGGCUACGUGAAGGACCUGCACCUCCUCGGUCGUGACCUGCGCCACACCAUCCUCGUGGACAACAACAAUGUCUGCGGCGUUUUUCAGCCGUACAACUCUGUUCACGUGAGGGACUUUGCGCGCCGGCGCUGCGCCGCGCGGGUGCCAGAGCAGCAGCGGAUGAGGGCGACACAGCUGUGUCAGCUAAAAGGGAGGGCUCCUGCAUCGGCGAUGACAGCUGUGGAGAACGCAGACACUUCUCAUCUGCUCGGCAAUAUGGAGUGCACCACUUCCACAUACGACUGGGUGGAUCGAGAGGACACCGUGCUCCUCCGCCUAUGCGCUGCAGGCGGCCUUCUGCAUCGCUUGUCGCAGUGCGAGAACGUGCCGUCUUUUAUGCAGCGCACUGUGUGCUUCAACCGUCGAGCACACUGAUCACGGCUUGUACACGGCUCAGCCAGCAGUGGUAUCAGACCAUUCCCUGGAGAGAGGUAACGGAAAAGAGUGACCUACGAGGCGCGAGCAUUAAUAAAAAAAUUAAGAAGCCUAACGGAAAAGGAGUACAGGGGGACAUCAAGCCGAAGGGAGUAUCGAGGAAAUCCGUCUUGGGGAGUGCGAUGGCAUCGUUGUGUUUUACCUGAGCGUGCUUCAUCACGGAGGUUGAAAAAAGCGAAGCUGGAACAUCAUUCGGCAAUCUACUCCGCACAAUGCAUGCAAAACAAGAGCAGCAACCCAUACUCACACAGCUGUUUUAUUAUUGUUAUUUUCGCCUCUUUCCUGUGAUGACAGCGCGCCGUCUUACGUUGACGAAAACGCGGACGACGAAAAGCAAGAAGGACUGGGCUGCCGCCACCCCGCACAUGCGCACGCGGCUCAUGGGGAAGCUAUGGGAAAGAGACAGCUGUAGGAAUAGGACCUUGUCUGGAACACGAUGAACUGAACGUGUGUAUGGCCACGUCGGAAUCCUCGAGGCUCUGAAGCGAAGAGCCGUCGCCUUCCCAUGGAUAUUGUUUUUUUUUUUUUUCCUUUUUUUUACUGAGACGAGGAAGGGACUCCCUGAACUUCAACGCCUUUCUUUCCUUAUUUACCGGGCUUGUUUUUUUUUCAAAGGGGGUGGGGGUGGGGCGAUUGUUUUUACCACUGUCUCGGAUUCCUGUCAAGGCCUUCGUCAGUGGUCUCUUUUUCGAACGCCCCGACGUGUAAGCGCUGCGCGUAUUCAUCCCAGAAGGCUUUUCCUCUCCUCUUUGUUUCUGUGUUUUCCUUUCUCGCGUGGAGCACCCAAUGCGAGCGUCUCCAGUCUGUUGCUCCUUCAGCGCGUCUUUUUUUUUUUUGCCACGGCGCAGUCGAGCUCUCUCUUUUAGCGACCUGUGCGAGCCAAAUGGUCGUGCGAAUGAGGAGAGUGGCCGUCAUCAUCGUAGUGCUCAGGAGGUAUUGAGAGCUUCGUGGUGACGAAGGGGAAAAAAGGAACAGCACCAGAGGGCGGGGUUUCGAAGAUCAUCCGUGAUGGUUGAUUUUGCGAGCCUGAAGUAGCGGCAUAAGGAGCCGACAAGUAACAGCGCUUCUCAACGCACUCUGAUGAGCCUAUGUCUCCCCCUUUUCACACUCUCUGCGUGAUUCUUAACGCUUGCGUUUCUCUUUCUUCUCCCCUCCCCUCCCCUCGGUCGCCGAGUGUGUUUUGCGCAUUCAGAUGUUUGUUGUUGUCGCCGCGGGCCUCGUGUGUGUAUGUAUGUGUGCUCCGACUUGAUUCAUGAUAGCACGUCUGCAUGUCUCUCUCUCUGAAGUGCUGCACCCUUCUAUUUCUAUUUAUGGUUGUAGAUACUUUGUGUGUGUGUGUGUGCAUGCGUGUGUGUGUGUGUGUGUGUGUGUUGGUGUGACGUGAAAGCUGCUCAUGCUUUCUUCUGAGGUUGCCGCCAUGAUUAUCCGCCCCUUUUGGUUCACCUCUCUGUUUGAGCUUUUCUGGUCUGUGAAUCGUCACUCCCCACAGUUUUUUUGCUCUUUCGCGUGUGUUCUCGCUGUUCUUUCCCUUCUGGCUUCUUUUUUUUUUGAAUCGCUUCGUUGGUUUGACAGCCUCUCUUCGUGAAUAUUUUCUGUCCCUCUUGCCUGUAUGGCUUCUUGUGUGCGUGUGUGUGUGUGCCUUUCCCUCCUCUAUACUCUCCUGUCGAAGUGUAUUUCCUAUUGUGGAACUUUUGCGCGGUUUUUGGGGGAGGGGGCUCUCCCCUCUUUUUUUUUCACGUUCGUGAUAGUCCUUCCCCUUUUGCUCUAUCGUUCUGCGGUGCUGGUCAUGGGCUGCCUAGGCGACGCUGAUGUUCUCCGAAACGCACGCACUGCGGCAAUGUGUCCCCCUGCCUUCUACUCCCGACACGAAAAAAAAUCACAAGAGAACUGGGCGGAGAGGAAGAGAAGAGUGCCUCUCUUCUCUCUCGUUUUUUUUCAAUUGUACGAGUGGCGCUCUUGUUUGUUGCACACGUGACAUACCUUCACGCUCUUUCCUUUUUUUCUCCCCCCCCCCUCCCCCUUUCGUUGCUUCACUGUUUUUCUCCUGGCCCAUUCCAAACUUCACAAUGGUUCGCUUUAGCGUGUGGACGUGUUUUUGUGUUCUCUCACUGCCCUUCCACUCCCUUUCUGUUUCUCUCCCCUCCCUCCCCAUUUUCUAAAUCUUCUCCCUCCUGUGUGCUUUCAAGCACGUGAGAGUGCGACUUUCUUUUUUAUUCCCACUACAGAUGUUACGUAUGUGUCAUCGCAUCUUUUUCGUUAUUAUCAUCACUCCAUGUCUCUUCGUGCGCAUCUGCCCGUGCAUAUGACUUUGUUACUUGUUUCCUGUUUCCCUGCCCCCCCCAUCUUGCUCCUUCAUCACUAAAUACUGCCGGAGUGGCUGAAAAGGGCUCCAGGACGGCGCAUACUUGUUGCGGUCAGCGGUGUGCUGCAUUUUGCGGUUUCGAUUCUCUUAGAAGUACAAGCUCGCCUACACACACGAACGCCAGCGACCACAUCGUGGUACACGUUUGCACACCAGCGAGCCUCCGUCUCUUUUUCCAUUUUUUUACGCGUUUUGUGUCCGUGAACACUUCACUGCGCUUAAUGCUGCUUUCAUAUUUUUAACCUUUCUCUUGUCGCCAGCAUUGUGAAAACAGGGCGUAUCCGCGCUUGUAUCGCCCACAGUUCACAUGCACGCGAAAACGUGCGGCACGCUCCACAAAGUCCGCUGAUCCCGCCUCGUACGUUUUGAUCCCCGGUAUCUCUAUUAUGACAGUGUGUGCGUGUGUUCGUGUUUUGUCCUCUGCGUUGUUUUCCACAUCCUGCUUAUCAUGCAUUUUGCUGCUGCCUUGAUGGGCAAGCUGAGGGGACAACAUCGGCAAAAAGCAAACUGUAUGCAGCUCCUUGAUGUGCUCAUCUUCGAUUCUGUUUGGUCUCCCCUUCUCACGUGGAACGCUGGCAGCAGCAGUAGUUCAUGUUUAUAUAUAUAUAUGUGUGUAUUUCUAUCAGAAACUUCCUCGCGAUCUUCGCUCUUUUCGUCUUGUCAAG
Molecule: unclassified non-coding RNA, 8531 nt
Filed under: Leishmania donovani
Lineage: Eukaryota; Euglenozoa; Kinetoplastea; Trypanosomatida; Trypanosomatidae
Description: gene:LdHU3.35.4690(CDS-product:NLI_interacting_fa ctor-like_phosphatase_putative)
Source: RNAcentral